GCAGCAAUAUCUUUCUCAGCUCCGAUUGCAACGCUGCCUCGUUCAAAAAUCAUAACACCGCCGCGGCCGCCACGUUUACCAGCCGGAGCCUCAAAUCAUGUCCCUUUGUGGUGAUAAAGAGGACACAGCCUGGUGUGAAGCUACAUUUAUUACGGAAGGAUGCCAGCCGGGGUCCAACUGUACUGUUGAGGAGUAUGAGUUGGCCUGCAGACAAAGGUUUGCUGAGGACAACAUCAUGUAUGAGUGACUCAUCAUCUACUUGAGGACCAGAAGGCAUGCCUCUGGACUUAAGGGUGCUGAGCAGCAGAAAGUAUUGCGAUGGGCACGCCAAUUCCAGUGGGAUGAACAGGAUCAGAAGCUGUACAGAGUGGACCAUGAUGGGAAGCCUCGGAAGCUCGUGGUGAGGUCAUUUGAGGAGGUUGCUGCUAUGUUAUAUCAUCAUCACAGCAGUCCCACUGCAGGGCAUAGCGGCUGGGUUACCACUUGUCAGAAUGUCUCCCCAGUUUACUAUUGGCGAAACAUGACCCAGGACA
Eriocheir sinensis (Chinese mitten crab) is the source of this 533-nucleotide long non-coding RNA. RefSeq lists it as uncharacterized. NCBI's taxonomy places the organism in Eukaryota, Metazoa, Arthropoda, Malacostraca, Decapoda, Varunidae. The record is from RefSeq and is a predicted model, not a curated record. The transcript is spliced from 3 exons.